AUUGAACGCUGGCGGCAUGCCUUACACAUGCAAGUCGAACGGCAGCACGGGUGCUUGCCCCUGGUGGCGAGUGGCGAACGGGUGAGUAAUACAUCGGAACAUGUCCUGUAGUGGGGGAUAGCCCGGCGAAAGCCGGAUUAAUACCGCAUACGAUCUACGGAUGAAAGCGGGGGACCUUCGGGCCUCGCGCUAUAGGGUUGGCCGAUGGCUGAUUAGCUAGUUGGUGGGGUAAAGGCCUACCAAGGCGACGAUCAGUAGCUGGUCUGAGAGGACGACCAGCCACACUGGGACUGAGACACGGCCCAGACUCCUACGGGAGGCAGCAGUGGGGAAUUUUGGACAAAGGGCGAAAGCCUGAUCCAGCAAUGCCGCGUGUGUGAAGAAGGCCUUCGGGUUGUAAAGCACUUUUGUCCGGAAAGAAAUCCUUGGCCCUAAUACGGUCGGGGGAUGACGGUACCGGAAGAAUAAGCACCGGCUAACUACGUG
This 486-nucleotide ribosomal RNA is filed under the name uncultured bacterium. Its description in RNAcentral is "partial 16S ribosomal RNA". It matches the Rfam family "Bacterial small subunit ribosomal RNA", at positions 30 to 507 of the family's 1533-position model. The record is from RNAcentral.